This is a long non-coding RNA of Brienomyrus brachyistius, 643 nucleotides long. RefSeq lists it as uncharacterized. The record is from RefSeq and is a predicted model, not a curated record. Lineage: Eukaryota; Metazoa; Chordata; Actinopteri; Osteoglossiformes; Mormyridae. The transcript has 3 exons.
AGAGUAAGCCUCUGGGCCUGUGAUCGGAAGGUUGCUGGUUUAUGCCCAGCCUCAGCAGAGUGAGCCUCUGGGACUGUAUUCAGAAGGUCGGCGGUUUAUGCCCAGCCUCAGCAGAGAAAGCCUCUGGGUCUGUGAUCGGAAGGUGGCCGGUUAAUGCAAAGCCUCAGCAGAGUAAGCCUCUGGGCCUGUGAUCGGAAGGUCGCUGCUUUAUGCCCAGCCUCAGCAGAGUGAGCCUCUGGGCCUGUGGUCAGAAGGUUGCUGGUUUAUGUCCAGCCUCCGCAGAGUGAGCCUCUGGGACUGUAUUCAGAAGGUCGCCGGUUUAUGCCCAGCCUCAGCAGAGUACGCCUCUGGGUCUGUGAUCGGAAGGUCGCCGGUUUAUGCCCAGCCUCAGCAGAGUAAGCCUCUAGGCCUGUGAUCAGAAGGUCGUCGGUUUAUGCCCAGCCUCAGCAGAGUAAGCCUCUGGGUCUGUGAUCAGAAGGUCGCCGGUUUAUGCCCAGCCUCAGCAGAGUAAGUCUCUGAGCCUAUGAUCGGAAGGUCGCUGAUUUACUCCCAGCCUCAGCAGUGUGAGCCUGUGGGCCUGUGAUCGGAAGGUCGCCGGAUAAUGCCCAGCCUUAGCAGAGUGAGCCUCUCGGCCUGUGAUCAG